AGCGCUGCGCCGGGUCCGGCUCAGCUCCCAGCCGCGGACGCAGGACCCGAGGCUCGCUCCUGCGGGCGCGCUUGUUUUCCAGCUGCCGCCUCGCCCUGCGCAGCCCCCGCCCGCCUGGCCGCCGCGCUCUGCUCUGCCCCGCCUGCCUUCCUCGCCCGGCGCUGGAUUUAUGAAUGGGGGGAAGAGGCUACAUGCCGCCGCCGCCGCCUCGUGUUGACCGCAAGCAGCCCGGGCCCACGGAGCUCCGGCUGCCGUGAGAGUGUCAGCACGGCCCCGGCAGCCGCUCGGAGGACUUGUUGCUGCUACGCUGCCGCCGCUGCGGGGAAGCCGGCUGCUCCGGGGCUUGGUGCGGUCUGGGAGCCGGAGGGUGGCCCGUGUGAGUGUGAGCGCGCGCGCCCCGGACCUUCGCGGUGCGCCUGAACUGUGCGCUUUCUUGUCUUUGGUCGGGGUGACGGCGGGGGCGUGUCCCCGGCCCAGAGCGUCUGUCUGUCCCGUCCUAGCGGGGGACCGCGUGUGUGCUUGCUUCUACUUCCCCGGGUCCUCCCUCUCUCCGCCUCCCUCUCUCCGGAGCUUCCUGCCCUAACCCCAACCACCUGUGCACCAGAGAAAUCCAACUCCUCCCGCUCCGCGUCCUAGGGGGGAUAGGCAGGGGCAGGGCCACGCCGCAGAGGGGGCCGCCGCCGCCUCCUGCCUCUUCUUCGUCUCCUCCCCCUCCCCCGUCUGACGCUGCCUCCUCGGGAAGGGUGUUUGGAGGGCAGCGGCCGCCCCAAGCCGGAGCCCCGCAGCGCUUCUUAUGAUCAGCUCGGUGUGUGUCUCCUCCUACCGCGGGCGCAAGUCGGGGAACAAGCCUCCGUCCAAAACAUGUCUGAAGGAGGAGAUGGCCAAGGGCGAGGCGUCGGAGAAGAUCAUCAUCAACGUGGGCGGCACGCGACAUGAGACCUACCGCAGCACCCUGCGCACCCUACCGGGAACCCGCCUCGCCUGGCUGGCCGACCCCGACGGCGGGGGCCGGCCCGAGACCGAUGGCGGCGGUGCGGGCGGCAGCGGCGGCGGGGGCUGCGAGUUCUUCUUCGACAGGCACCCGGGCGUCUUCGCCUACGUGCUCAACUACUACCGCACCGGCAAGCUGCACUGCCCCGCCGACGUGUGCGGGCCGCUCUUCGAAGAGGAGCUCACCUUCUGGGGCAUCGACGAGACCGACGUGGAACCCUGCUGCUGGAUGACCUACCGGCAGCACCGCGACGCCGAGGAGGCGCUCGACAUCUUCGAGAGUCCGGACGGAGGCGGCAGCGGCGCGGGGCCCAGCGACGAGGCCGGCGACGAUGAACGGGAGCUGGCCCUGCAGCGAUUGGGCCCCCACGAGGGAGGCGCGGGCCACGGCGCCGGGUCUGGGGGCUGCCGCGGCUGGCAGCCCCGCAUGUGGGCGCUCUUCGAGGAUCCCUACUCCUCCCGGGCGGCUAGGGUAGUGGCCUUUGCCUCUCUCUUCUUCAUCCUGGUCUCCAUCACCACUUUCUGCCUGGAGACACAUGAGGCCUUUAAUAUCGACCGCAAUGUGACAGAGAUCCUCCGCGUGGGGAACAUCACCAGCGUGCACUUCCGGCGGGAGGUAGAGACAGAGCCCAUCCUGACCUACAUCGAGGGUGUAUGCGUGCUGUGGUUCACGUUGGAGUUCUUGGUGCGCAUCGUGUGCUGCCCCGACACGCUGGACUUCGUCAAGAAUCUGCUCAACAUCAUCGACUUUGUGGCCAUCCUGCCCUUCUACCUGGAGGUGGGGCUGAGCGGCCUGUCAUCCAAGGCAGCCCGAGACGUGCUGGGCUUCCUGCGUGUGGUGCGCUUCGUGCGCAUCCUGCGUAUCUUCAAGCUCACACGCCACUUCGUGGGGCUGCGCGUGCUGGGCCACACGCUGAGGGCCAGUACCAAUGAGUUUCUGCUGCUUAUCAUCUUCCUGGCCCUGGGCGUGCUCAUCUUUGCCACCAUGAUCUACUAUGCUGAGCGCAUCGGGGCCAGGCCCUCCGACCCUCGGGGUAAUGACCACACCGACUUCAAGAACAUCCCCAUUGGCUUCUGGUGGGCUGUGGUCACCAUGACGACACUGGGCUAUGGAGACAUGUACCCCAAGACGUGGUCAGGCAUGCUGGUAGGGGCACUGUGUGCGCUGGCUGGCGUGCUUACCAUCGCCAUGCCAGUGCCUGUCAUCGUCAACAACUUUGGCAUGUACUACUCCCUGGCCAUGGCCAAGCAGAAGCUGCCCAAGAAGCGGAAGAAGCACGUGCCACGGCCGGCCCAGCUGGAGUCGCCCAUGUACUGCAAGUCUGAGGAGACCUCCCCCCGGGACAGCACCUACAGUGAUACCAGCCCCCCUGCCCGGGAAGAGGGUAUGAUCGAGAGGAAACGGGCAGACUCUAAGCAGAAUGGCGAUGCCAACGCAGUGCUGUCCGAUGAGGAGGGAGCUGGCCUCACCCAACCCCUGGCCUCCUCCCCCACCCCUGAGGAACGCCGGGCCCUGCGACGCUCCACCACUCGAGACAGAAACAAGAAGGCAGCUGCCUGCUUCCUGCUCAGCGCUGGGGACUAUGCCUGCGCCGAUGGUAGUGUCCGGAAAGCUCUCAGUUCUGCUGAGGAAGCCCUGUGCUCCCAGUGAAGUGACCUGUGAACACCACUCUGCUCUGCAGGCAUGUGGCCAGAGGCUGGAGGAUGGAGGGAUCUCAUUACAGGCAUCUGUGGGUGGAGAAAAGCUGACUGACCAACAGAUUUACCCAACCUGGCAAGACAAUUUACCCUCUUUGGAAUCUGCGUUUUAAAUCCAAGGACUAAAGAAGAGCCUACGUUCUUCUGAGAAAUUACUAUUAGCUCCCUUCAUGUCGAGGCUUUCAGACACUGCCUGGGAGUUUUGUGUUUUAGGAAAGUCAUGGGGUGGGGGACAAGGUCUCAAAUUUCAGUCUGUGGGUGAGUCUUCCCAGGCCUGGCCCAGGCUUUCAGAGAAAGGCACCCCCGGAGGUUUUCAGAAAGGUGUGUUUGUCUGAAGACUCCUGGGACAUUAGACGGCAGAGAAAAUAAAACCCACCAAAAUGGCAAGGCAAAGCUGGGCCAUUUGAGGAAAUUCAGAAGGAAAAACUCCCAACAGAAUCUUAAGGUAAUAAAGUGACACCUCUGGUGCAAGCUAGAGAAAUUCUCAGAGUUGCCCUGGGGCCAGGAAUUACUCAAUUAAAUAGCAAAAGCCCAAAGGGAAAUGGAGAAACAGUACCUCUUCCUCCUUUACCUGAAGCUCUGCUCCCCCUAUUCCCUUCACCCCAUAUGCCCUCUGCCAGCAGCUUCUCCCCGCAGGCCCUACCCUUAGACCAGUCUGCCAUCACAUCCCAGCUGUCAGUACAUUCCUCCUUUCCGGCGAGGACACCAGCACUGAUUGAUCUUCUCUCCUCCUGCUCCUCUCUGGCCCUGGUCCAAGCUGUUUCCUAUCACUUUCUCCUUGGAGCAUUCUAGCUGAUCUUUCCUAUCACUUUCCCCCAGGGCGGGGAAGGGUCUCAUUUCCACCUUCUUAAGAUAUUGUCUCCUAUGAUAUAUUUAUUUUUUCUUUUUUAGCUAUCUCCUACCAAGAGGGUGGUCUCCUACUAUUUAAACAGAAAAGAGUGUUUAUUUUGAGGGAGAGUGGACAGGCAAUAAGGAAGCUACAUUGAUUUCCUUACACAGUGCCUGAGCCAAGAGGACUCUGGCCCUAGUAUCCACGUGACCAGAGCAUCCUCAAGCCCACCCUUCAGCCCCUGCACUGUCCCCCACAAGUGUUUGCAUUUGCCAGCCCAAGUCUUGUCAGGGGCAUAACCCUCUGACUACAUCCUCACACUCUACAUUUAGCUCAUUCUCCUCUCCCUGUGACAUCCUGGGCACCACUUCGUCCUCUCCCUCUCCCCAGCCCUUUCUCCAAAUCCCCCAAGUGGGAAGGAUAGUUGGGAGCAGAAAGCAGUUUAGCUUUUACAAGCCCGGUGCAAGGAUCUGCUAAGAGCUAUUCCAAGGACCAUGUUUGCCAGAACAGAUUUUGUAUUUAAUCAAUGAAGGUGUUUCUCUCCCAGCAGACAGCUAAUCGCCAAGAGCCUCACAUUCAUCUUCUCUUGGUAUUUACUCAGAUGGGAAAAGUGGCUCCUCUUACCCUUACUGCCUGAAGAUCAUUCUUCCUUUCCCCAGCUUCUCCCCAUUCACAUCGGGGAAUUGUACUAUUCGACCAGCUCUCUCCUGUGGGAAGAGUCAGAGGCGGGUGAGAGGAUGAUGACCUGGGGAGGCAAAGUGACAGAAUAUGUCAAAGAGCAGUGACAGUCUCUAGGUUUUAAGCUGCCUGGGAUGGCAUGGGGGAUGGUGAUUAUAUUGAGUCACCACUGAUGAAAUAUUUAUUGAGCUGUGAAGGAAACACUCCAGGGUAAAGCAGAGAAGCAGUAACUGAUUUAAGAUGCAGAAGUUCAAGUACUCACACCAUUGCCUCACUGUGCAGGAACAGCAAGUUCUUUACCUCCUCUGGGUGUCAGCUCAUAGGCCUGGGCUAUCAGGGCUGGAAGGGAGCAGAGAGAACCUUUAUUGGAACCUCACCUAUUAAAGAUGGGGCAUUGGUGUGUUGCUGAUGACAGAACCUGAAAAAACCUACUCUUCUACAGCAGGUUGAAUUCAUGACCUGAAGCUGAAUGCUUCCAGCAUGUUCGUUCAGGGUGUAGAUGGGAAUAAAGUAUCUUUGCAGUGCUGUGUUCCCUCCGUCUCCCCAGACAUCUGACACCCUAAAAGCCAUCCACAGCUAUGGAGCCUGAGCGACACCUUGAUUUGUGUUGUCACCCGACCAAGCCUAAAGACCUCUAGCUCAGUCCCCCACCUUCAUACCACCCCCCAGAUGAUAAAAUUCAGACCUCUCUCCUGAAAGGCAGAGGUUAAACAUUCAGGACUGUUUCUGGCCGAGGACUUCUUCCAAUUAAAAUCCCCACCAUGGGCUGUCUCCCCUCAUUUCACUUUUCUAAAGGGGCAGAGGCUCUUUUUUGAUUUUCCUGAGCCUCCCUUUGUUGGAUCUGCCGGAAGACUUGUCGGGGAACCUUUAGUGAGGGUACUUCUUCCUAUUUUUCUUCUGUUUUUGGAGGCAUACACAUUAUGCAUAAC
This is an RNA transcript of Cercocebus atys (sooty mangabey), 5124 nucleotides long. It is a transcript of the gene named potassium channel, voltage gated Shaw related subfamily C, member 4, with no coding region annotated. NCBI's taxonomy places the organism in Eukaryota, Metazoa, Chordata, Mammalia, Primates, Cercopithecidae. The transcript is spliced from 5 exons. The record is from RefSeq and is a predicted model, not a curated record.